RNAcentral lists this ribosomal RNA (164 nucleotides) under Uniola paniculata. RNAcentral describes it as "5.8S ribosomal RNA". It matches the Rfam family "5.8S ribosomal RNA". From Rfam's summary of the family: 5.8S ribosomal RNA (5.8S rRNA) is a component of the large subunit of the eukaryotic ribosome. It is transcribed by RNA polymerase I as part of the 45S precursor that also contains 18S and 28S rRNA. The record is from RNAcentral. Lineage: Eukaryota; Viridiplantae; Streptophyta; Magnoliopsida; Poales; Poaceae.
CACACGACUCUCGGCAACGGAUAUCUUGGCUCUCGCAUCGAUGAAGAACGUAGCAAAAUGCGAUACCUGGUGUGAAUUGCAGAAUCCCGUGAACCAUCGAGUUUUUGAACGCAAGUUGCGCCCGAGGCCUUCUAGCCGAGGGCACGUCUGCCUGGGCGUCACGC